GACGUAGGGGACGAGCGUUGUCCGGAUUCAUUGGGCGUAAAGCGCGCGUAGGCGGUUCGGUAAGUCGGGUGUGAAAACACGAGGCUCAACCUCGUGCGUGCAUCCGAUACUGCCGGACUAGAGGUAGGUAGGGGAGAUCGGAAUUCCUGGUGUAGCGGUGAAAUGCGCAGAUAUCAGGAGGAACACCGGUGGCGAAGGCGGAUCUCUGGGCCUUACCUGACGCUGAGGCACGAAAGCGUGGGGAGCGAACAGG
Molecule: ribosomal RNA, 253 nt
Filed under: uncultured bacterium
Lineage: Bacteria
Description: partial 16S ribosomal RNA
Rfam family: Bacterial small subunit ribosomal RNA
Source: RNAcentral